RNAcentral lists this ribosomal RNA (520 nucleotides) under uncultured Glomeromycotina. RNAcentral describes it as "SSU rRNA". It matches the Rfam family "Eukaryotic small subunit ribosomal RNA", at positions 569 to 1081 of the family's 1831-position model. Lineage: Eukaryota; Fungi; Glomeromycota. The record is from RNAcentral.
AGCAGCCGCGGUAAUUCCAGCUCCAAUAGCGUAUAUUAAAGUUGUUGCAGUUAAAAAGCUCGUAGUUGAAUUUCGGGAUUGGCGCAUCGGUCGUGCCUCACGGGGUAUGAACUGGUGCAGUCAAUUUCUCACCUUCUGGAGAACCGCGAUGUCCUUAAUUGGGUGCCGCGGGGAACCAGGACCUUUACUUUGAAAAAUUGAGUGUUUAAAGCAGACAUUUUUGCUUGAAUACAUUAGCAUGGAAUAAUAAAAUAGGACGGCAUGGUUCUAUUUUGUUGGUUUCUAGGACCACCGUAAUGAUUAAUAGGGAUAGUUGGGGGCAUUAGUAUUCAAUUGUCAGAGGUGAAAUUCUUGGAUUUAUUGAAGACUAACUACUGCGAAAGCAUUUGCCAAGGAUGUUUUCAUUAAUCAAGAACGAAAGUUAGGGGAUCGAAGACGAUCAGAUACCGUCGUAGUCUUAACCAUAAACCUAUGCCGACUAGGAAUCAGACGAUGUUUAAAUUUUUAAUGUACUUCGUUU